Ictalurus punctatus (channel catfish) is the source of this 1441-nucleotide long non-coding RNA. NCBI's taxonomy places the organism in Eukaryota, Metazoa, Chordata, Actinopteri, Siluriformes, Ictaluridae. The record is from Ensembl.
UCCCCACCUCUUGUUCGCGUAUAAAAUUUCAUGCUAAUUUCAUGUCCUCUUGAAGGCAACAAGCUUCCCAGUUCCUCCUGCUGAACCUGACGACACUACCACCACCAGGCUUCACACUGAACAGGUGAACACAGUAGGGUAACUAACCAAUUACAGACAGACAGACAGACAGACAGGUGGAUACAGAAAGACAGAGGGACAGACAGACAGUACGAUUGACCCAGGUAGACAGACAGACAGAUAGAGAGAAAGACAAACACACAGAGAGAUAGGCAGAUAGAUAGACACAGACAGACAGAUAGAGAGACAAGCAGAUUUACCCAGAAAGACAGACGGACACAGAAAGACACAGACAGACAGACAUAUAGAGAGACUCCAAAUACAGAUAGACAGGCAGACAGAUAGACUCAGACAGACAGACCGAGAGACACAGACCGACAGAUGGAGAGAUAGACACAGAUACAGAGACACAGACAGAGAGACAUAUAGAGACAGAAAGACAGACUGAUACAAAGACAGACAGACAGAGUGACAGAGAUAAAGAAAGACAGAUAGACACAGAUAUAGAUACAUAGAUAGAUAGAUAGACAAAUUCAGAUAGACAAAAUAGAUGGACAGAUAGACAGACAGAUAGAGACAGACAGAUAUAAAGACAUUUUCAACAAAUACAGUCAUCUUUUAUAAAAAUAAAAAAAACACAAAAAUGAUUUUAAUACACUUUAAUGAUAUGGUGAAAAUGAAGUAUACAAUCAUACACCGAUAAAUGACUACAUUAAUGACAGAACACACACACACACACACACACACACACACACACACACACACAGAUAGCAUUCAGAAGUGUGUUUAGGUAUAAAAAGAUUGUGUAAUGUGCAGAAACGAUGAAUAAAUCAGUUCAAUGGUGAAUAAAUUCUGAACUGAAUGAAAUAUUAUACAAUAAAUACGCUACAGUGCCGUGUGUUUAAAACUUGAAUAAGUAAAUAUACCUCAGGUAGAUUUCAGACUCCAUAAUUUUAGCUUUACACAGUAGUUAGCAUGCUAAUGUCAAGCUAAUUUUUACAUCUUUACAUUAAUUACUGCAAUUAGCAAAGAUAUACUAUACAAGUUUUAUUCAAAUCCAAAAAGUUCCAUUUUAUUAAAUAAAGGAAAGGAAAUGAGCAUGAAAUCCUUCAGGACAGCUAGUUAGCUAGGCUCUGUUAACUCUGCUAGCAAAUUACUCAGCCAACAUGAUUAGCUUCACACAUGGUUGUGAUUCUGUAGGUUAAGCUAGCAUAUAUGUUAAAUCUAUUAUGUGGACACAAUGUAAAGACACAGUGAGAGUGAAAGUGACACAGAAACAUCCGGAACGUUAACGUUUACCUCAGAAGUGCUGGAAAAUUACAAAAAAAAAAAUUGUUAUACUAAAAUUACACUUAAAUUACACUUAGCGUCAACUGCUAAC